This 253-nucleotide ribosomal RNA is filed under the name uncultured bacterium. Its description in RNAcentral is "partial 16S ribosomal RNA". It matches the Rfam family "Bacterial small subunit ribosomal RNA", at positions 524 to 776 of the family's 1533-position model. The record is from RNAcentral.
UACGAGAGGCCCAAACGUUAUUCGGAAUUACUGGGCUUAAAGAGUUCGUAGGCGGCAUUGCAAGUAGGGUGUGAAAGCCCUCGGCUCAACCGAGGAAUUGCGCUCUAAACUGCAGUGCUCGAGGAACCUAGAGGUGAGCAGAACAGAUGGUGGAGCGGUGAAAUGCGUUGAUAUCAUCUGGAAUACCGGAGGCGAAGGCGGCUCACUGGGGGUUUUCUGACGCUGAGGAACGAGAGCCAGGGUAGCGAACGGG